CCCCUUUUUGGACGACUCCUUUUCCAUUUUCGUUCUUCAAUUUUCUUGUGAUCUCAAAAAUCUUUUGAUGGGGAGAUUAUUUGUGUUGACUCUUGAAGGCAAGAUCUACAGCUGCAAGCACUGUGGAACUCAUCUUGCCCUUUCUGAGAACAUUGUUUCCAAGUCUUUCCACUGCAGACAUGGGAAGGCUUAUCUCUUCAGUAAGGUGGUGAAUGUCACUUCUGGCGAGAUAGAAGAUAGAGUGAUGAUGACUGGUAUGCACACUGUGGCAGACAUUUUCUGCGUCUGUUGUGGGUCAAUUGUUGGAUGGAAAUAUGAGACCGCCCAUGAGAAGAGCCAAAAGUACAAAGAAGGAAAAUCAGUGCUUGAGCGGUUUAAGAUUUGUGGCCCUGAUGGAAGCCAUUACUGGGCUAGUCAUGAUACUCAUGUUGUAGGAAGUGAUGCUGAUGAUGUUUGAUCACCAUCCAGAACAAAAAUUCUAUCCCAAAAUUGGACUGAGGAGAAAAGGGGUUUGGCGGGAAGAGGAGUAUAACAUGAAAUAAGUAAGGAGGUCAACCUCUUUCAAAUAUACAACAUGGAUUAUGGCAAUGUAGUUGGACUCUCAUGUUGAUCCACAUAAAUCAGCCUUUCCACGGAAGUAAAUCUUUGUCUGCUUGGCAAGAGGAUAGCGUUUAAAAGAGUUGAUCAUAAAAAAUGAAACAAAGGGAGUAACAUCUUAUUGGGCCCGGGGCAGAGGCAGAGACAGCCUCUAAUGGGGAGUAUUAGGAGUUGAUGAGGAACUAUCAUUGUUUCUAGAAAUGCAAAGAAGGGAAAAUGACAGAAAUAAUAAUCGAUUUCUUCAAAAAUCCAACGAAUUUGAUCCCCUUGGAUCAAAAAGUGGUAGUACACCUGCAUUUAAUAUUGCAUCAGUUGCACCCCUGCGGAAGACUCGUACUGAUGAGUUCCUUAGUGCUGACAAUGAUAAAACUGAUUACGACUGAGAUGAAAUCACGUGAAACUAUGAUGAGUCAGCUGGGAACUUCUAGAGCUCACCCUACUGCAUUGACAUCUAGAUUAACAAAUUCUCUCCCAGAGGCCACCUCAAGAAGCAACUUGCAUCUAGACAGCUAGCUUCCUCUCCUGGAUCAAACACUUCAAGUUCUAGUCUUCGAAGGCCAUCUUCUUCAGGUGGAUAUGGCUAUUAGACAUAUGGUAUGUACAUUCUUUU
Solanum stenotomum is the source of this 1207-nucleotide RNA transcript. It is a transcript of the gene named protein yippee-like, with no coding region annotated. NCBI's taxonomy places the organism in Eukaryota, Viridiplantae, Streptophyta, Magnoliopsida, Solanales, Solanaceae. The record is from RefSeq and is a predicted model, not a curated record. The transcript is spliced from 10 exons.